Molecule: ribosomal RNA, 253 nt
Filed under: uncultured bacterium
Lineage: Bacteria
Description: partial 16S ribosomal RNA
Rfam family: Bacterial small subunit ribosomal RNA
Source: RNAcentral
UACAGAGGGUGCGAGCGUUGUCCGGAAUCACUGGGCGUAAAGGGCGCGUAGGUGGCGCGACAAGUCAGUGGUGAAAGCUCGACGCUCAACGUCGAGUCGGCCACUGAUACUGUUGGGCUUGAGCACUGUAGAGGCUAAUGGAAUUCCGGGUGUAGCGGUGGAAUGCGUAGAGAUCCGGAAGAACACCGGUGGCGAAGGCGGUUAGCUGGGCAGUAGCUGACACUGAGGCGCGACAGCGUGGGGAGCAAACAGG